UACGUAGGGUGCAAGCGUUAAUCGGAAUUACUGGGCGUAAAGCGUGCGCAGGCGGCUUUGCAAGACAGAUGUGAAAUCCCCGGGCUUAACCUGGGAAAUGCAUUUGUGACUGCAUGGCUAGAGUGCGGCAGAGGGGGAUGGAAUUCCGCGUGUAGCAGUGAAAUGCGUAGAUAUGCGGAGGAACACCGAUGGCGAAGGCAAUCCCCUGGGCCUGCACUGACGCUCAUGCACGAAAGCGUGGGGAGCAAACAGG
RNAcentral lists this ribosomal RNA (253 nucleotides) under uncultured bacterium. RNAcentral describes it as "partial 16S ribosomal RNA". It matches the Rfam family "Bacterial small subunit ribosomal RNA", at positions 524 to 776 of the family's 1533-position model. The record is from RNAcentral.